Molecule: long non-coding RNA, 696 nt
Organism: Onychostoma macrolepis
Lineage: Eukaryota; Metazoa; Chordata; Actinopteri; Cypriniformes; Cyprinidae
Exons: 3
Source: RefSeq, a predicted model, not a curated record
AGUGGACGUGGCCGUAAAAGGACAUAUGAGAAAUGUUGUUCCGUUAACUCAAUAAAAAGUUGGAGCCUUUUUUUCUGACUGACGGCCAGAUUAACAAUGUCGUAACGGUGACAACAUCGACUGAAUCACACAAUCAACCUUUGUGGCACCAAAUGCACUGAAAGUCACAGAUCAGAUGGAAUUCUGGAAAGAGGGUGCAAAGAAAAAAACAUCAGCCUGAAUUCCCUCCUGCUGUUUCUCAUCAGAGUGCUUUUCAACUUUGACUGGCAGAAUUACUGAACUUUAACACAACACAAACUCAUUUUUACUGUAUUGUUUUAUUUUAUUUACUUUAUUUUUUGUAAGGCCUGUUGUGCUUUUCAGUAUGUGUAUGUUUUGACCAGGGGAUGCCCUUUUCUCAGCUAGUGCAUUCUAGAGGUCAAGAUUUGUAAUUUGUAUUUUUAAAAAGUUUUUUAAAAAUGUUCAACAAUUAAAGAAUAUUAUCAGAACUAAUUCUCAUGAGUUAUUGUGAUUUUCAUGGGGUUGGGGUGGUAAAACUCAUGGAUUACAGUGCUGUAAGGCAAUUGGAUUGUUUUUUUACAGGUAUAAAAUGUUUAAACUAAAUGAAAAUAAACUCUACAGUAUUGAUACUGUAAAUGACAAUACGGUAAUUAUACUGUAAAUGAAAAUACAGUAAGGACAUUAUAGUACUGUAAA